AGAACGAACGCUGGCGGCGUGCCUAACACAUGCAAGUCGAGCGCGAAUGGAGCAAUCCUAGUAGAGCGGCGCACGGGUGCGUAACACGUGGAUAAUCUGCCUGGAAGACCGGAAUAACCAUUGGAAACUUUGGCUAAUACCGGAUAAGCCCACAGGGACUUCGGGUCCCAGGGGGAAAAGGUGGCCUCUGUAUACAAGCUAUCACUACCAGAUGAGUCCGCGGCCCAUCAGCUAGUUGGCGGGGUAACGGCCCACCAAGGCAACGACGGGUAGCUGGUCUGAGGGGACGAUCAGCCAC
This 298-nucleotide ribosomal RNA is filed under the name uncultured soil bacterium. RNAcentral describes it as "partial 16S ribosomal RNA". It matches the Rfam family "Bacterial small subunit ribosomal RNA", at positions 26 to 311 of the family's 1533-position model. The record is from RNAcentral.